This 817-nucleotide ribosomal RNA is filed under the name Rhizoctonia solani AG-8. RNAcentral describes it as "eukaryotic LSU rRNA". The stretch from base 207 to 360 matches the Rfam family "5.8S ribosomal RNA". Lineage: Eukaryota; Fungi; Basidiomycota; Agaricomycetes; Cantharellales; Ceratobasidiaceae. The record is from RNAcentral.
AGGGACCUUAAUCGAUUUAUGAGAGUUGGUUGUAGCUGGUCCAUUAAUUUGGGCAAUGUGCACACCUCCUCUUUCAUCCACAUACACCUGUGCACCUGUGAGACAGAUGGGGGAAUUUAUUCAUUUAUUGGACCCCUCUGUCUACUCAAUUCAUAUAAACUCAAUUUAUUUAAAAAUGAAUGUAAUGAUGUAACACAUCUAAUACUAAGUUUCAACAACGGAUCUCUUGGCUCUCGCAUCGAUGAAGAACGCAGCGAAAUGCGAUAAGUAAUGUGAAUUGCAGAAUUCAGUGAAUCAUCGAAUCUUUGAACGCACCUUGCGCUCCUUGGUAUUCCUUGGAGCAUGCCUGUUUGAGUAUCAUGAAAUCUUCAAAGUAAAUCUUUUGUUAAUUCAAUUGGUUCUACUUUGGUAUUGGAAGGUCUUUGGCACCUUCACACCGGCUCCUCUUUGUGCAUUACCUGGAUCUCAUGGUUAUGCUGGGUUCAACUCACCGGGAUAAAUUAUCUAUCGCUAAGGACACUGUAAAAAGUGGCCAAGGUAAAUGCAAAUGAACCGCUUCUAAUAGUCCAUUGACUUGAACAAUAUUAUUAUGAUCUGAUCUCAAAUCAGGUAGGACUACCCGCUGACCUUAAGCAUAUCAUUAAGCGGAGGAUGGCAACUUUUGGAAUUUGAGAAAACCGGUUGUUCCGGCCCUUAAUUUGGAAAGUCAUCCCCUUCCCACUCCGGUCUGGUAACAGAUGGGGGAAUUUUUUCUUUUUGGCCCGUCCCAUUUAAACUUUUUUAAGGAGUAAGUUUUCAUCCAUUUCCCCCCUGGCUC